This 484-nucleotide ribosomal RNA is filed under the name uncultured bacterium. RNAcentral's name for it is "partial 16S ribosomal RNA". It matches the Rfam family "Bacterial small subunit ribosomal RNA", at positions 30 to 507 of the family's 1533-position model. The record is from RNAcentral.
AUUGAACGCUGGCGGCAGGCCUAACACAUGCAAGUCGAGCGGAUGAAGGGAGCUUUCUCCUGGAUUCAGCGGCGGACGGGUGAGUAAUGCCUAGGAAUCUGCCUGGUAGUGUGGGAUAACGUCCGGAAACGGGCGCUAAUACCGCAUACGUCCUGAGGGUGAAAGUGGGGGAUCUUCGGACCUCACGCUAUCAGAUGAGCCUAGGUCGGAUUAGCUAGUUGGUUGGGUAAAGGCCUACCAAGGCGACGAUCCGUAACUGGUCUGAGAGGAUGAUCAGUCACACUGGAACUGAGACACGGACAAGACUACUACGGGAGGCAGCAGUGGGGAAUAUUGGACAAUGGGCGAAAGCCUGAUCCAGCAAUGCCGCGUGUGUGAAGAAGGUCUUCGGAUUGUAAAGCACUUUAAGUUGGGAGGAAGGGAAGUAAGUUAAUACCUUGCUGUUUUGACGUUACCAACAGAAUAAGCACCGGCUAACUUCGUG